Molecule: long non-coding RNA, 3540 nt
Organism: Tyto alba (common barn owl)
Lineage: Eukaryota; Metazoa; Chordata; Aves; Strigiformes; Tytonidae
Exons: 2
Source: RefSeq, a predicted model, not a curated record
GGGGGAAUCGGGCCGUGGGCUUUAAAAGCGGAGCCCUUUGUGCUCCGGAGCCCGGCGGGGCCCCCGCACCAGCAGCCGGCGGGGCCGGGAUGCGGGGCCGCCCGCAGCCGCUCCCCCCCCCGAGGAGCCCUGGACCACGCUGCACCGGCGGCCUCAGGACCCCAGCUUCCCCCUCUCGGCAGGGAUGCGACCACCGUGAUUGCCAGCUGGAGUGCGGCUGAGCACCCACGCAGCGCAAAGCACCCUGGCGGGGCUUGCCGUCUGCCCCGCGGCACUCGGGAUGGGGACGAGCCCUGGCUGGGGACCAAGGGCAGGCACUCACAAGCCCCCCCACCACGGACGAGCCCUGGCUGGGGACCAAGGGCAGGCACUCACAAGCCCCCCCACCACGUGCAGGCAGCCGUUUGCAAGAGCAAGAGCUGGGGCUGACCGCAGGAGCCUGUGGUGGCUGCAGGGGGGGCCCGGUGGCCCCAGGGAGCAGCUCAGGGGCUGUUACGCAAAUCAAGAGGAGCCAGGAAACCGGUUGCAGGGCUGUGGAGGGCACAGGAGUGAGUCUGAAUUUCCCUUCUUGCCUCUGAGUCAUCGGGGCUGACUUCCAUGGCUCCGAGAUGCUGUGGCAGCUUAGAGCCUUGGCCGGGCUCCUUCCAGCAUGGCAUCGCUCUUGCACCUGGGAACCAGCUGGACCUUGUCCUUGUGGCUGGGCAGGGCUGGGCAUUGAGGGUCCCUCUGCUCCCAGGCUUGGUCCCCACGUGUGGCGCAGCCCCAUGGUCUCCACACUGGCUCUGUGGGUGCUGCAACCACAGCCAGGACCUAGAGCUGUUUUGGGAAGGGGCUAGUAGCAAUGUGGGGUGGUGACUGACUGAGGGGCUGAUAGUGGGACAGAGUGGAGGCAGUUUUGGGAAAAGACCAAUUCUGGCUGUUCUUGGCUCAAUCUUUGUUCCUGGGAUCCUUCUACACAUGGGUCUGUAACAGCCUCUGGGGACAGUGGGAUUGCUGCAGGACCCUCAUGGAGGGGAUGUUCCUGUGGCACCUCUACUGUGGGAUGUGGAUGGGCAGAUAAUUGCUUUGGGAAUGGAGAAGCUGAAAAAGGGGCACUGGUGGCUGCUAGCAUGAAAUGUCCAAAGAUUUAUUCCUGGUACAGUCUCCAGAAAGUCACCCUGGUUCCCUCCCUGUGGCACAUCCCUGGGAGCACUGUAGGUUAAGAAUGGGUUUGGGGAGGCUGUACCCAAGAGGGCAGGGACUGGUUUCCCUCUGCUCUGUCCCAGGAUGGUCUUCUUGCAGUGUCCUUCAUCACAGCCCUGCUGGCAACAGCAAGGGAUGAUGUCCUUGCCUGCUCAGGCUUUCCAGAGAAACCCCACAGGUACGUCCCCAGGUACCAUCACCGCAGCACUGCCACCCUGCCCUGCUGUUUGCACUCUGGUGGUCCACGCGAUGGGCACAGGCGCAGUGGCUGUUCCCUGGGAAUCAGGUACUGGGGACCCUGUGAGUUCACAGGCACGUGGUGGCCGGGCUGGAGGCAGCUGCCUGCUGUCGGAUACGAAAGGCCUCGCUUUGCCCGCCACAAAGGAGGAGGAGUGUGUGUGUGCACGUGAACAAGAGCGGCCAACACCCGUGGCAGAGCACACCCAGGCUUCUGCCACUUCCUUGCCCCACAGGAGGGACACGGUGGCCUGGCUCUGUGUGAUGGCCACCACUAAGCAUGCCACCCCAGUGUAGCCAGCUCGGCAGCACCCGUCCUUCCUGCAGACCAAGCCGCAGGUAAGCACGUGGGAUGUUAUCUGCUUAACACAGAGGAGCAGAGCCCAGAUGUCAGAGCAGCUCCUGGUAUGUUGGAGGAGGAUAAGCUUGCCCAGAGCCUGGCCUGGCCUGGGCAAGAAAAUUAGUUCAUGGCAGCUGAAGGUCCCCAUUGCCACAUGCUCUGCCUCAGUGCCUGCUGGAAUUGCCCUGGCAGGCAGAUUUCCUCUGGCACAAGUAAAACACUGGUGGGUAAACGCCCUUGUGCCAGGGGAGAUGGGCAUCCCAGCAGGAUGGGGUGUGCACAGCCUCUGGGCUGUUCUCUGCAGGAGAAAUGCCCCUUAAUGAUCCUGAAAGCACCUUUGGAUGACGGGGGCCAGGCACCAUGUGGCCCUGUGCCACUGCCUGCAGACGGGCACUGUUGCUCCAGUGGGAUGUGGUGCCCAUUUUUGCUGCUCGAAGGUGGGGUGUGCAGGAUGAGCCGCUCUCUGGCUCCUACUGCAGCCGUUUGCCCCUGUGCCCUCCUUCCCAGCCGCCUUCCCGUGCAGCAGGGAGGCAGAGCACAGCUGAAAAUACACCCACUGGGUUGUCGUUGUCCCCGUUCCCCCCCCCCCCCCCCCCCCCCCUUCCUGCCUAUUUGCUUCCUCCCCUCCUGGCCUUGCCUUUCAAUGGGGCUUCCUAAGAAAACAAAGGUUGCGCCGUUACGCUUUGCCUAUAUAUACACACAAACACACACACACAUGUACGUGUGGCUGGCACCCUUCUAAUAAACUUUGACCACAUUUCCAUCCCAGUGGACAGGGGGACGGCAAUCUGCAAACAUGCUUAGGUCAAUGGGGCUGGCAAAAAUGAGCAACUGGGGGAGGGGGAGAGAGCCUUGCCUUUCCUUUAGCACAGAGGCGAGCUGCUCCACAGCUCAAUCCCUUAUUAGACAGUGGGGAAGCUUUACGUGGGGCACCCAGCACCCUCCACCUGCAAAAAGGGCUUUGAUCUGGCUUCAGACCUGAGCUGUGCUGCUGUGGGAGAUCCCUGGGGACCGGUGGCACGACUGCCAGCCUGCUUACCUGGGAUAAGCCCCCAACAAACUCCUUGCACAACUGGGGAGGAACUGAGGUGCUGGAUCUAGGUAUAAAAAAAAUGCCUUUUUUUUUUUUUUUCUCCUCUGAGUUGCAUCUGCUGGUAUCUAAAAACACCAGUUUUCUUUUGUGCAGAAUAGGAAUGUGUUCCUCCUCACCCCCCAGCCACCACCUGAGCCCUUCCUGCCUGCUCCCCACAUCUCGGAUGUGUUUUCAGUGCUGGCAGGGCAGGAGUGCUGGGGGGCCAUGCCCCAGCCCAGCCUGAUACAGAAAAUCCCCAUAUCAAACUCUGGCUGGGAGUGGGGCACAGAGUCCAGCUCUGUACCUGCUGCUGAUGCCACAGCCUGCACCCCAGAGACACUGCUGGGGAAAACUGAGCUCCACCAACCCAGGAGCAGCAAGCUGCUACUGAAUGUGCUCAUCCCACAGCUCCCCAUUCCAUCUUCCCUCUGAAAAAAGCCCUAACUGCCCAAAACCCACUGCAAACUCCACCCAUCAGUGUUCAGGUUGAGAGCAAGGGGUUGCGGUCACCAGGGACUUAUCUGCUGUAGUUUUCCAGAAACUUCCCCUCUGGACUUGGCAUUACCACGGUGUUGCCGUGCCCUCUCAGCAGCGGGGUGCCGGUGGGGAUGACGGCUCCAGCCCACGCGGUGCUCGGGUAACCCACGUUGCCCCAGGGGCUGUGCUUCCUUCGCCCCAUUCAGGCUAAAAAGUAGUCUAAUUAUUAAAA